Molecule: long non-coding RNA, 1145 nt
Organism: Alligator mississippiensis (American alligator)
Lineage: Eukaryota; Metazoa; Chordata; Crocodylia; Alligatoridae
Exons: 2
Source: RefSeq, a predicted model, not a curated record
UUUGAGAUAUUUAUUUUUCAGGAGAAACUUUGGAUUUUAAGUCUGGCUGAGCCACUGGUCCAUGGUAUACUUCUGGGAGAGUCAUGUGAGCUGGAGGAGACCCAGACAGAAACUAGCCAGCUCCUCACUGAAAGGCUGGCGCUGCCCCUUAGCCGGGCUGCCCCGGACAAAGCACCAGAGAUCCUUUCUGCAGAAACAGCCUUGCGCCUCGUCCCACAAAUGCCCAGCGAGGAGCUGGGAGCAGAGCGCUGUUAUCUCCCAGGUCCGUCUUUGGUUAGCCGUGGGCAGCACAAAGAGCGACUUAAAAAAAUACAGUAAGCAGUGGCCCACCAGGCCCCAGAUCAUCGAGCGUUACCAGCAGCAUCUGUGACAGCACGAACUGGGGGUGUUACAGCCUCUGAGAAUUAGGCACAGAUAGGGGCACGUGACAUGCUUUCCCAGUGGGUUUUAUCGGCACAGACAAGGAUUUCCCCAUGCCCCAGCAGCCAGGUGAGCAGCUUGCACUGACUGCGCAGCACAGACCGUGCUCUGCGGAAGAAGACUCCUUUGGCUACUGUGUCCGGUGCACUGCUACGGAUGGAGGCAGCGAACACUAAGGUGCUGGGACAAACAGUGCCAGUCAUGGACUAGCAUCCACUAGGAUGGACUGGACGGUUCUUGUUAUGGACGGGUCUGAAGCACCCGGCGGCAUACUGCGAUCUGCAGCAGUGGGGCUGUGUUUCCAGCUACGCUGACCCAGGCUGGCAGGGCUGUCUGACGGAGAGCAGGGAUACAUGGGCAGGCAGACAGCAUAUUUCUUCUCUAACUUUCCAGAGGCUAAUCCUGUUCAGCUUCUACUGCCACAGCCCCGCGGCUCCAUCUGUAUUGUCAGCAGCCUGGGUAGACGGCCCCUCUCCUGAUACGUGAGCCUGGAGACACUGAAUUUGCACUCCCAUUCUAAGUGUUUUUUCACCGAGAUGGUGAGAAGUAUUUCCAAAAGGACUUAAGGGAUUUAGGAGCAGAAGCCCCGCUGAUCUCAGGGGUGUUUCUGAAAAUCUCUCCCUGCAUUUCUAGCACAAGAGUGCUUUUGGUGGUUUGCUGUUUUAUCACCGUGUUCCUUUUCUAGCAUAUGAAGCCGCUAUUAUAUUUUAGCAAACUGAAGUGGA